RNAcentral lists this ribosomal RNA (228 nucleotides) under Mycobacterium tuberculosis. RNAcentral's name for it is "partial 23S ribosomal RNA". It matches the Rfam family "Bacterial large subunit ribosomal RNA", at positions 905 to 1130 of the family's 2925-position model. Lineage: Bacteria; Bacillati; Actinomycetota; Actinomycetes; Mycobacteriales; Mycobacteriaceae. The record is from RNAcentral.
GAGCUACUGGAUGGCUGAUGGGCCCCACCGGGUUACUGACGUCAACUAAACUCCGAAUGCCGGUAAGGUUCAGCGUGGCAGUGAGACAGUGGGGGAUAAGCUUCAUUGUCGAGAGGGAAACAGCCCAGACCAUCAACUAAGGCCCCUAAGCGUGUGCUGAGUGGGAAAGGAUGUUCAGUUGCGAAGACAACCAGGAGGUUGGCUUAGAAGCAGCCACCCUUGAAAGAG